UAUUCCACUUAUUUCAAGACAAAUUGUAUUACGGGUGAAUUGAAUCGUACCGAGCUUCAGUCGGAAACUCUUUCAAUUCUGCAAAUUGCUUGCCCGUGGUAUUGUUCAUAAUGUUAUUUAUAUUUGCAUAUUUGCUUAGUUUAGUAGUUAUCUAGUUAUAUUAGAUUAGUAGUUAUCAUUGAUUAAGCAAAUAUCAAACGGCCUAUUACGAAUUCAAAUUUCAUAUUGCAUUUCAAAUAUGUGUUCGCAGAAUAGAGCAAAAUAGUGAUCGAAAAUGUAAGGCGAGAUAGAAAUGCUAGUAGAGCUACUGUCUAUCUUGUCGAGUUAAGUUUCAAUAUUCUAAUGUAAACAACACAUUAUUAUGUUAUUAAGUGACGAGUGGAACAGAGUUGAUCGUGUAGUCAUUAAAAGAAAAAGAAGAAAAAGAAGAAAAAAAAAAAAAAAAGAAAAAAAGAAAAAAAAAAAAAAGAAAAAAGUCAGAUUCAUUUGUUAAUUGCAAUAAUAUCUUUGAUCGGAAUAUUGAUAAGUGGUUUGCGUAGUAGCGCACAAACUUAUAAGCAAACUCAUAGAUAUCUACGUUCCAAUCUAAUCAGCCUGUAUAAUGUAGGUACAUGCUGAUUCCACAUCAGCGACGCGAAAAAAGUGAAAGAAAAAGCAGAAAAAAAGGAGCAUGCGAAAGAAACUUCUUCCUCGUGCGAUUCGUCUUCAAGGAUAACAGAACGAAGAAGAAUUAAUUAUCUCGAACUCGUCUCUUUCUUCCGUUUGACGACCAUCCACUCGCGAUUCUUUUUUCUUUUCCUUUUUCUUUUCAUUUUAUUUUUAUUUCUAUUUUUAUUUCUAUUUUUUUGAUAUUUUUUUUUCCUUCUUUUUCGACAACUCGAAUUAAAACUUCAUUUGACCUCGGGCCGUGCAAGAAUGCAUCGUACGAAACCGAUAAAUAGUGAUGGCAUUCAAAAAGUAUUUUCUUCGACUCGGAGAAAAAAAAUUGUCUGCAAGGUCGUCUUGGUUACAUUUGGGGAGAUGAACAAAAUUUGCAUUGUAUCAUAUUAUUUCUUUUCUUUUUCGAUUCGAUUGAAAUUCAAUGAAAAUUUAUUUCGAUGAUAGGACCACUACGCAGCUUGCAUUCGCGCUUAACAAGAGAAUUAUCGUUUCUCGUACUUUUGAUUAGACUUGGAGAGUAGACGAUAAAAAACUGCAUAUGCGGUUGCGUGCUCGAGAUACAGGACGUGUACAUGUAAAGGUGACACAUUUGAAAUGACGUAUCUCGUAACUCAAGCUAUAAAAGAGAUGGUAAGGUUAGUUAAUCAUUACCAAGAAGUUUCAUCUCUCUCUCUCUCUCUCUCUCUCUCUCUCUCUCUCCCUUUUUUGUUUUUCAAUAUGAAUUUUCACGAAAAAUUAUUAAAUAUGUAUUUCAUAUACAUAGAUACGUGGUGGUGCAACAGGUACGAUGUCCUACCGCAAUUUCUCGCCCUACCACAACACUCGUUUCGCUCGCGAUAUCUCUCUUUCGAAACUUCAUGCCCAAACAGUCAUAGAAAACAUCUGUCAAUGUCGGUACUAAUCUCGCAUAUUGUGUCGUUCUAUUUUGUAAAUUACGUUAGCGAUACGUGAACAAAGAAAUUGUUGUUUCGUUGCAAGGCAUACAUUGGUACGUUUUAUAAUACGUAUUAAAGAGUUUUAACAUGAAAUAAUGAAUUCAUAUUGCCAUUUUCUAUAUUCAUAAAAUACAUAUACAUGCGCAAAAUAAAGUUUAGAUAAUUUUUCAUCGAGUUUCAGAAUUUUAGUUUAAACUUUGCAUUUUUUCAUAUCGCUCGACGAUACACAUGAGUACUACCUUAUCUGUUCGACGAUACACUUGUCGCUGAAAACUAACGAUAAGUGGUGGGCGGACGAUUUCGUGGAAACCGCAUACUGCGUGACAACGAGAGCAAGUCGUUAAACGUCCCUUCUAAUGUCGAUUACCGAAAGGUAGAGUGAGAGUUACGGUAUAACUACCCUCUUUCGCAAGAAAAAGAAAAAAAAAUGGAAAAAAGAAAAAACUCGUCUGGGUGCAUGUUGCGUGCGACGCAUUAUGCACAUUAAAUCGACUGGACAGGAGAAAAGGCGAGGAGAAAGGGCUCUGCCUAUUAAACGGGAGAAUAGAAAAAAAAAAAAAAAAAAAAAAAAAAAAAAAAGUCUUUUUUCUUUUCCCCCUAAAAAUGGUAAAAUAUUAUUAUCAAACAUUAUUAAUUAUUAAUUACGCGGGGAAAAUUCGGGGAAAAAAUAGUAUAUACGCGAGACACACCUUCUGUAUCAAAGAUAGUUUCUCGUUCAUGUGGAUUUCGUUCUUGCAUAAUAUAAGUCUCCUACGAUAUACUUUACGGGUGAUAUCACCCAUUAUUUGAUAACGAUGCUACGUGAGUUAUGACAUAUACUUACUACUACAUUUCCUUGUUAUUCCAAAGAAAAAAGUUUUUCUUCCGUUAGCUGGAUCAUGAAAGGAGGAGUAAUAGAGGAUCUUAUAUAACUUUCUAUUGAAAAUUUGCACGAAAAUUUGCUUCAAUAAUAUUAAUAAUUAUUUAUAUACUAAUGUCUACAGCAAUUGCAAAAGUGAUGUCAGAAUGUGCAAUAACGAGUCGAUGUAAUUUACACUAAAUAUACGUUAAUCGUAUUAUAGCAAUAUCGUUAAUUAAUAUCACUCGAUAAUUUACUUGCGUACGAUUACCAUAUAUCGAUAAAUGCGACAAACGAGCGAUCGGUACCUUUGUACAACGAUUUUUCCAGUAAGUGCACACGUUCGCUUUCUCUCUCUCUCUCUCUCUCUCUCUCUCUCUCUCUCUCUCUCUCUCUCUUCCUCUCCUAAUUAGCUUCACCGAACCGAAGAAGGCCAUUAGCUGUCAAUUUGUACGGGCCGUCGAGCGUAGAUUAUGAAUUUUAACGAUUUCACGUUCGAAUUGAACCCUUUGCGGCCCUCAAAAAAA
This is a long non-coding RNA of Vespa mandarinia (Asian giant hornet), 2960 nucleotides long. Lineage: Eukaryota; Metazoa; Arthropoda; Insecta; Hymenoptera; Vespidae. The record is from RefSeq and is a predicted model, not a curated record.